This 401-nucleotide ribosomal RNA is filed under the name uncultured bacterium. RNAcentral's name for it is "bacterial SSU rRNA". It matches the Rfam family "Bacterial small subunit ribosomal RNA", at positions 8 to 425 of the family's 1533-position model. The record is from RNAcentral.
AGAGUUUGAUCCUGGCUCAGAAUCAACGCUGGCGGCGCGCCUAACACAUGCAAGUCGAACGAGAAAGCCCGCAAGGGUGAGUAAAGUGGCGUACGGGUGAGUAACACGUGGAUCAUCUACCCUCUUGUGGGGAAUACCGUUGGGAAACCGACGACAAUACCGCAUAAGCUCGAGAGAGGAAAGCAGAAAUGCGCUGGAGGAGGAGUCCGCGGCUGAUUAGCUAGUUGGUGAGGUAAUGGCUCACCAAGGCUUAGAUCAGUAGCCGGCCUGAGAGGGCACACGGCCACACUGGCACUGAAACACGGGCCAGACUCCUACGGGAGGCAGCAGUGGGGAAUCUUGCACAAUGGGGGAAACCCUGAUGCAGCGACGCCGCGUGAGCGAUGAAGCCCUUCGGGGUG